AAAGAAAUUUGGCACACAGAGUUCUUGAUUGAGCCCAUUCUAAGUCUCGGCUGAGAACUUUGAUUGUGUGCAUUUACAGUCCAUCAAUAAUGAAGUAUUUGUAAUAUAACCUGUAAGUUUCAACAUCUGCAUAGAAACAUAUAAGUGAGGAACUGUUCAUUGAAAACUUUGAUCAUAUUUUGCAUUAGUCAAUUAGUUUAAUUUUUUUUGCAAACUAUUUGAUUAUUAUUGUGAAUUUCUGGAAGCUGAAUGAAUAAUGAAUUACAUAUUCUUGGUUGGUGAUCUCUUUGGUAUGAUCAAUUGAUAAUAUGGAUGCAAUAGG
Molecule: long non-coding RNA, 322 nt
Filed under: Solanum tuberosum (potato)
Lineage: Eukaryota; Viridiplantae; Streptophyta; Magnoliopsida; Solanales; Solanaceae
Description: long non-coding RNA (STUB_LNC010883)
Source: RNAcentral